This 255-nucleotide ribosomal RNA is filed under the name uncultured bacterium. Its description in RNAcentral is "partial 16S ribosomal RNA". It matches the Rfam family "Bacterial small subunit ribosomal RNA", at positions 524 to 776 of the family's 1533-position model. The record is from RNAcentral.
UACGAAGGGUGCAAGCGUUACUCGGAAUUACUGGGCGUAAAGCGUGCGUAGGUGGUUCGUUAAGUCUGUCGUGAAAGCCCCGGGCUCAACCUGGGAAUGGCGAUGGAUACUGGCGAGCUAGAGUGCGGUAGAGGAGAGUGGAAUUCCCGGUGUAGCAGUGAAAUGCGUAGAGAUCGGGAGGAACAUCAGUUGCGAAGGCGGCUCUCUGGAACCAGCACUGGACACUGAGGCACGAAAGCGUGGGAGCAAAGCAGG